AUACGUAGGUGGCAAGCGUUGUCCGGAUUUAUUGGGCGUAAAGCGUGCGUAGGUGGUCGUUUAAGUCCGUUGUGAAAGCCCUGGGCUCAACCUGGGAACUGCAGUGGAUACUGGGCGACUAGAGUGUGGUAGAGGGUAGCGGAAUUCCUGGUGUAGCAGUGAAAUGCGUAGAGAUCAGGAGGAACAUCCAUGGCGAAGGCAGCUACCUGGACCAACACUGACACUGAGGCACGAAAGCGUGGGGAGCAAACAGGAUUAGAUACCCUGGUAGUCCACGCCCUAAACGAUGCGAACUGGAUGUUGGGUGCAAUUUGGCACGCAGUAUCGAAGCUAACGCGUUAAGUUCGCCGCCUGGGGAGUACGGUCGCAAGACUGAA
Molecule: ribosomal RNA, 377 nt
Filed under: uncultured bacterium
Lineage: Bacteria
Description: bacterial SSU rRNA
Rfam family: Bacterial small subunit ribosomal RNA
Source: RNAcentral